RNAcentral lists this ribosomal RNA (250 nucleotides) under uncultured bacterium. RNAcentral's name for it is "partial 16S ribosomal RNA". It matches the Rfam family "Bacterial small subunit ribosomal RNA", at positions 1134 to 1383 of the family's 1533-position model. The record is from RNAcentral.
GGGACUCUAAGGAGACUGCUGGUGAAGAACCGGAGGAAGGCGGGGACGACGUCAAGUCAUCAUGGCCUUUAUGGGUAGGGCUACACACGUGCUACAAUGGGGCGUACAGAGGGAAGCCAACUCGCGAGAGGGAGCCAAUCUCAGAAAGCGCCUCGUAGUCCGGAUCGGAGUCUGCAACUCGACUCCGUGAAGUCGGAAUCGCUAGUAAUCGCGAAUCAGAACGUCGCGGUGAAUACGUUCCCGGGCCUUG